RNAcentral lists this ribosomal RNA (448 nucleotides) under uncultured bacterium. RNAcentral describes it as "partial 16S rRNA". It matches the Rfam family "Bacterial small subunit ribosomal RNA", at positions 466 to 911 of the family's 1533-position model. The record is from RNAcentral.
GUCUUGACGGUACCUNNNCAGUAAGCCCCGGCUAACUACGUGCCAGCAGCCGCGGUAAUACAUAGGGGGCAAGCGUUAUNCGGAAUUAUUGGGCGUAAAGCGCGCGUAGGCGGUUUNUUAAGUCUGAUGUGAAAUCCCACGGCUCAACCUGGGAANUGCAUUGGAAACUGGNNAACUUGAGUGNGGAAGAGGNAAGUGGAAUUNCAUGUGUAGCGGUGAAAUGCGCAGAUAUAUGNAGGAACACCAGUGGCGAAGGCGACUUUCUGGACUGUUACUGACNCUGAUGUGCGAAAGCGUGGGGAUCAAACAGGAUUAGAUACCCUGGUAGUCCACGCCGUAAACGAUGACUGCUAAGNCGUUAGGAGCUUUCAGCCUCUUAGUGCUGGAGCUAACGCAUUAAGCACUCCGCCUGGGGAGUACGACCGCAAGGUUGAAACUCAAAGGAAUU